Molecule: long non-coding RNA, 622 nt
Organism: Miniopterus natalensis
Lineage: Eukaryota; Metazoa; Chordata; Mammalia; Chiroptera; Miniopteridae
Source: RefSeq, a predicted model, not a curated record
UAAUAUAUAAUAGCUAUCUACUGCUGCAUGACAAGCUGUACCAAAACGGUAACUUGACAGUGGAGAAACCUGGCAACCACUGGUUUUACCAACUAUCAAGGUAGCAUCCCCUGGAGUCACAAGAGAAAGCUGCAAAGAAUUGCUUGACCUGCCGUGAACACUGAGUAAGAGCCAAAUGUUUAUGGGGCCUAGAACCGAACUCGCAACACCUCCAGAGCGCCUGCGUGUGCUGUGAUUCCUUCCCGGGGAGUGUUCUGUCCGACCUGGCUUCUUCCACCUUAGAGGCCGCCCGACCCGAUCGCUCUAUGGUUUGCAUUUCUCGAGAGCUCCAGACGAAGCGACACCCACUCAUUCCUCUUCCCUGCGCGUCGCACACAGCGCUCGUCCGUGACUCUCCCGUUUAUGCGGACGCUCCGUACGUGCUGCUGGUGUCCAUACCACCCGCAUGUUUGGCAGUGGUGGCACAGGGGUGAAGGAGACGCGGGUUUUAGCCCUGAAGACGCUCACCAAGUAAAAGGGAGAAAGACCGAUGUAGAAACCACUGUCACACAAAUGCCUUCAAGACAUAGCUUGGGCAUCGCCUCCUUUGUGAAGCCUGCUGUGACCACCUCCGCCUUCGUCA